CCUACGGGGGGCUGCAGUCGAGAAUCAUUCACAAUGGGGGAAACCCUGAUGGUGCGACGCCGCGUGGGGGAAUGAAGGUCUUCGGAUUGUAAACCCCUGUCAUGUGGGAGCAAAUUAAAAAGAUAGUACCACAAGAGGAAGAGACGGCUAACUCUGUGACAGCAGCCGCGGUAAUACAGAGGUCUCAAGCGUUUUUCGGAAUCACUGGGCGUAAAGCGUGCGUAGGCUGUUUCGUAAGUCGUGUGUGAAAGGCGCGGGCUCAACCCGCGGACGGCACAUGAUACUGCGAGACUAGAGUAAGGGAGGGGGAACCGGAAUUCCAGGUGUAGCAGUGAAAUGCGUAGAUAUCGAGAGGAACACUCGUGGCGAAGGCGGGUUCCUGGACAUUAACUGACGCUGAGGCACGAAGGCCAGGGGAGCGAAAGGGAUUAGAUACCCGUGUAGUC
This 446-nucleotide ribosomal RNA is filed under the name uncultured bacterium. Its description in RNAcentral is "partial 16S ribosomal RNA". It matches the Rfam family "Bacterial small subunit ribosomal RNA", at positions 338 to 795 of the family's 1533-position model. The record is from RNAcentral.